UCUGCGAUUUCCGAAUGGGGAAACCCAACUGCAUAAGCAGUUACUGUUAACUGAAUACAUAGGUUAACAGAGCAAACCGGGGGAACUGAAACAUCUAAGUACCCCGAGGAGAAGAAAUCAACCGAGAUUCCGGUAGUAGCGGCGAGCGAACCUGGAUUAGCCCUUAAGCACUCGGUGAAGUAGGUGAACAAGCUGGAAAGCUUGGCGAUACAGGGUGAUAGCCCCGUAACCGACGCUUCAUCGAGCGUGAAAUCGAGUAGGGCGGGACACGUGAUAUCCUGUCUGAAUAUGGGGGGACCAUCCUCCAAGGCUAAAUACUCCUGACUGACCGAUAGUGAACCAGUACCGUG
Molecule: ribosomal RNA, 350 nt
Filed under: Vibrio cholerae
Lineage: Bacteria; Pseudomonadati; Pseudomonadota; Gammaproteobacteria; Vibrionales; Vibrionaceae
Description: partial 23S ribosomal RNA
Rfam family: Bacterial large subunit ribosomal RNA
Source: RNAcentral